This 454-nucleotide ribosomal RNA is filed under the name uncultured bacterium. RNAcentral's name for it is "bacterial SSU rRNA". It matches the Rfam family "Bacterial small subunit ribosomal RNA", at positions 128 to 619 of the family's 1533-position model. The record is from RNAcentral.
GCCCUUCACUACGGAAUAGCCUCUGGAAACGGAGAGUAAUACCGUAUACGCCCUUUUGGGGAAAGAUUUAUCGGUGAAGGAUUAGCCCGCGUCUGAUUAGAUAGUUGGUGGGGUAACGGCCUACCAAGUCGACGAUCAGUAGCUGGUUUGAGAGGAUGAUCAGCAACACUGGGACUGAGACACGGCCCAGACUCCUACGGGAGGCAGCAGUGGGGAAUCUUAGACAAUGGGCGCAAGUGAUCUAGCCAUGCCGCGUGAGUGACGAAGGCCUUAGGGUCGUAAAGCUCUUUCGCCAGGGAUGAUAAUGACAGUACCUGGUAGAGAAACCCCGGCUAACUCCGUGCCAGCAGCGGCGGUAAUACGGAGGGGGUUAGCGUUGUUCGGAAUUACUGGGCGUAAAGCGCGCGUAGGGGAUUGGAAAGUUGGGGGUGAAAUCCCGGGGCUCAACCCCGAG